AGCGAACGCUAGCGGCAGGCUUAACACAUGCAAGUCGAACGAAGUUCUUCGGAACCUAGUGGCGAACGGGUGAGUAACACGUAGGUAAUGUACCCUUUGGUGGAGGAUAACUCAGGGAAACCUGAGCUAAUACUGCAUAUGUCCUUCGGGAUAAAAGUCUUCGGACGCCUUAGGAGCAGCCUGCGGCCCAUUAUCUAAUCCUAGUUGGUAGGGUAACGGCCUACCAAGGGUACGAUGGGUAGCUGGUCUGAGAGGAUGAUCAGCCACACUGGGACUGAGACACGGCCCAGACUCCUACGGGAGGCAGCAGUGGGGAAUAUUGCGCAAUGGGGGAAACCCUGACGCAGCCAUGCCGCGUGUGUGAUGAAGGCCCUCGGGUCGUAAAGCACUGUCGGGAGGGACGAAGAUCUGACGGUACCUCGCAAGAAAGCACCGGCUAACUCCGUG
This 447-nucleotide ribosomal RNA is filed under the name uncultured bacterium. RNAcentral describes it as "bacterial SSU rRNA". It matches the Rfam family "Bacterial small subunit ribosomal RNA", at positions 29 to 507 of the family's 1533-position model. The record is from RNAcentral.